This 253-nucleotide ribosomal RNA is filed under the name uncultured bacterium. RNAcentral's name for it is "partial 16S ribosomal RNA". It matches the Rfam family "Bacterial small subunit ribosomal RNA", at positions 524 to 776 of the family's 1533-position model. The record is from RNAcentral.
UACAUAGGGGGCAAGCGUUAUCCGGAAUUACUGGGCGUAAAGGGUGCGUAGGCGGCUUCUUAAGUCUAGUGUGAAAUCCCACGGCUUAACCGUGGGCGGUCAUUAGAAACUGGGAAGCUUGAGUACAGCAGAGGUAAGUGGAAUUUCUAGUGGAGCGGUGGAAUGCGUAGAUAUUAGAAGGAACACCAGUGGCGAAGGCGGCUUACUGGGCUGGAACUGACGCUAAUGCACGAAAGCGUGGGGAGCAAACAGG